CCCUUAGAUGUCCUGGGCUGCACGCGCGCUACACUGACACAUUCAGCGAGUUUUUCCUUAUCCGGUAGGAUUGGGUACUCUUUUGAACGUGUGUCGUGAUGGGGAUAGAUUAUUGCAAUUAUUAAUCUUCAACGAGGAAUUCCUAGUAAGUGCAAGUCAUCAGCUUGCAUUGAUUACGUCCCUGCCCUUUGUACACACCGCCCGUCGCACCUACCGAUUGAAUGGUCCGGUGAAAUCUCGGGACGGCGGCUUGGUCGCUUGCGUCCGACUGCUGAAACUUGAUUAAACCAUAUCAUUUAGAGGAAGGUGAAGUCGUAACA
RNAcentral lists this ribosomal RNA (320 nucleotides) under uncultured eukaryote. Its description in RNAcentral is "partial 18S ribosomal RNA". It matches the Rfam family "Eukaryotic small subunit ribosomal RNA", at positions 1470 to 1796 of the family's 1831-position model. The record is from RNAcentral.